RNAcentral lists this ribosomal RNA (488 nucleotides) under uncultured bacterium. RNAcentral's name for it is "SSU rRNA". It matches the Rfam family "Bacterial small subunit ribosomal RNA", at positions 26 to 523 of the family's 1533-position model. The record is from RNAcentral.
AGAGCGAACGUUAGCGGCGGGCCUAACACAUGCAAGUCGAGCGAGAAAGUGGCUUCGGCCAUUAGUAAAGCGGCGGACGGGUGAGUAACACGUAGGUAAUCUUCCUUCGAGCGGGGGACAACGUUCCGAAAGGGACGCUAAUACCGCAUACGUUUCUCGGGACUCCGGUCCUGGGAAGGAAAGCUAGGUAGCAAUAUCCGGCACUCGAUGAGGAGCCUGCGUAGCAUCAGCUAGUUGGUGGGGUAAUGGCCUACCAAGGCUAAGACGCUUAGCUGGUCUGAGAGGAUGAUCAGCCACACUGGGACUGAGACACGGCCCAGACUCCUACGGGAGGCAGCAGUGGGGAAUAUUGGACAAUGGGCGCAAGCCUGAUCCAGCAAUGCCGCGUGUGUGAAGAAGGUCUUCGGAUUGUAAAGCACUUUCGACGGGGACGAUGAUGACGGUACCCGUAGAAGAGCCCGGCUAACUCGUGCCAGCAGCCGCGGUAA